Molecule: long non-coding RNA, 457 nt
Filed under: Trifolium pratense (red clover)
Lineage: Eukaryota; Viridiplantae; Streptophyta; Magnoliopsida; Fabales; Fabaceae
Description: long non-coding RNA (TPRA_LNC002204)
Source: RNAcentral
UUGUGAGGGGGCGCCCAUAUAGGCUAAAGGGAGAGAGAAGGGAGAGCUCAAGAAGCUAGGGCAAGGGAAAGUGAAGGGAUUCAAGAGCAAUCUUCGAGUUUUCUUCGAAUCCAGGUAUGAGANNNNNNNNNNNNNNNNNNNNNGGUUUCAUAAUCGUGGGUGACACGAGGAAGGGGAGAAUGUCGAUUUCUCCUUACCCGAACUUUCUCCACUCCAUUUUCGUUUUAGUUUGGAUGAGUUUUUCUUAAUGGAAAUCGAAUCUAAGAUUCAUAACAUGUUUAAUAUACUCUUAGCAUGAUGUAUGAACGAAUUUAAUGAGCAAAAACGGAAUUUGUAGAUGUUUGAAUCCAAGAACAUGUGUUUGUAUAAGUUUUGAGUAAAAGUCGUGAAUCUUUACUUUUUCGAUGUUUAUGAUGUAGAUAUAUGAAACAAACCGUCCUUUUGUGUUUACAUAUAU